GACGAACGCUGGCGGCGUGCUUAACACAUGCAAGUCGAGCGGUAAGGCCCUUUCGGGGGUACGACGAGCGGCGAACGGGUGAGUAACACGUGGGUGACCUGCCCUCAGCUCUGGGAUAAGCCUGGGAAACUGGGUCUAAUACCGGAUAUGACUCCAUGACGCAUGUUGUGGGGUGGAAAGCCUUGUGCGGCUGAGGAUGGGCCCGCGGCCUAUCAGCUUGUUGGUGGGGGUGAGGCCUACCAAGGCGACGACGGGUAGCCGGCCUGAGAGGGCGACCGGCCACACUGGGACUGAGACA
Molecule: ribosomal RNA, 298 nt
Filed under: uncultured bacterium
Lineage: Bacteria
Description: partial 16S ribosomal RNA
Rfam family: Bacterial small subunit ribosomal RNA
Source: RNAcentral